RNAcentral lists this ribosomal RNA (465 nucleotides) under uncultured bacterium. RNAcentral describes it as "partial 16S ribosomal RNA". It matches the Rfam family "Bacterial small subunit ribosomal RNA", at positions 28 to 507 of the family's 1533-position model. The record is from RNAcentral.
GACGAACGCUGGCGGCGUGCUUAACACAUGCAAGUCGAGCGGUAAGGCCCCAGCGUGGGUACAGGAGCGGGGAACGGGCGGGUAACACACGAGCAAGCAGCCCAUCACAGCCGGAGAACUCCGGGAAACCGAAGCCAAUACCGAAUACGACCACGACCGGCACCGGAGGGCUGCGGAAGGUUUGGGCGGUUGGGGAUGGGCUCGCGGCCGAUCAGCUUGUUGGUGGGGUAAGGGCUCACCAAGGCAUCGACGGGUAGCCGGCCUGAGAGGGUGACCGGCCACACUGGGAUUGAGACACGGCCCAGACUCCUACGGGAGGCAGCAGUGGGGAAUAUUGCACAAUGGGCGAAAGCCUGAUGCAGCAACGCCGCGUGAGGGAUGACGGCCUUCGGGUUGUAAACCUUUUUCAGCAGGGACGAAGCGAAAGUGACGGUACCUGCAGAAGAAGCGCCGGCCAACUACGUG